Molecule: ribosomal RNA, 497 nt
Filed under: uncultured bacterium
Lineage: Bacteria
Description: partial 16S ribosomal RNA
Rfam family: Bacterial small subunit ribosomal RNA
Source: RNAcentral
GAUGAACGCUGGCGGCGUGCCUAAUACAUGCAAGUCGAGCGAACAGACGAGAAGCUUGCUCCUCUGACGUUAGCGGCGGACGGGUGAGUAACACGUGGAUAACCUACCUAUAAGACUGGGAUAACUUCGGGAAACCGGAGCUAAUACCGGAGAAUAUAUUGAACCGCAUGGUUCAAUAGUGAAAGACGGUUUUGCUGUCACUUAUAGAUGGAUCCGCGCCGCAUUAGCUAGUUGGUAAGGUAACGGCUUACCAAGGCAACGAUGCGUAGCCGACCUGAGAGGGUGAUCGGCCACACUGGAACUGAGACACGGUCCAGACUCCUACGGGAGGCAGCAGUAGGGAAUCUUCCGCAAUGGGCGAAAGCCUGACGGAGCAACGCCGCGUGAGUGAUGAAGGUCUUCGGAUCGUAAAACUCUGUUAUUAGGGAAGAACAAAUGUGUAAGUAACUAUGCACGUCUUGACGGUACCUAAUCAGAAAGCCCCGGCUAACUACGUG